Molecule: long non-coding RNA, 1590 nt
Organism: Thalassophryne amazonica
Lineage: Eukaryota; Metazoa; Chordata; Actinopteri; Batrachoidiformes; Batrachoididae
Exons: 3
Source: RefSeq, a predicted model, not a curated record
UAGUUUCUGCUUCAAAUGUUUCAAAAUGUUUCUCUGAAUUCUAAACUGUUUCAUCAGAUUCAGUUUCACAUCAACACUCAGAUAUGUUGUCUGAACCAGAACUAAAGGAUUUUCUCUGUUGGAAACAUGUCAGGGUGGUGCAGCGGGUAUCACAUGCUCACAGCAAUAAGGUCUUAGGUUCAGCUACCAUUAAAGUUCAGGUCCAUUCUGUGUGGAGUUUACAUGUUCUCUCCGUGUCUGUGAGUUUAUUCCUGACAUUAAAAUCAUGUUCAUUAGUUUCUGGCUCCUCCCACUGCCCUUGAACAAGGUAGUGUCUGUAGACCUGUCCUGAGUCUUCUCUGUGGCUCAUUUUUUUCAUCAGAUCCUCAGAUCACUCCCUCCACCUUCUCAACACCCUCUCCUCACUGGUCAGCACAUUAACAUCUACAACCUUUAUUACUUACCUACUGUACAUCCUUUCCAGUUCUGUGUCCAAUCAAAACAAGUACUUUUCUCUUUCUUCAUCCACAGUUCAAUGUGUCCUUUCUUUAGUUUUUGUCUCUUUUCUUUUCACUUUACACCACCUCCUCCUGUCUCCUGUCCACUUUCUUCUCCUUUCCAAUGAUCUCAGUUCUUUUCGCCAACCUCUUUUCUCCUUAUACUUUCCUGAACACCUUCAUUCCUCCUCCCAGUCUCCUUGUCUCCCCUCCAGUGGCCAGAUGUUACAUCCAGCACCUUCCUGUCUGUCUCCCUCAGCACAUCUGCAGGACUUUUCCCGUUGUCUAUAAUCACAUUACCUUCAUCCAGUGCCAAGAGGCCUUAAUGUGGUACUGUAAAUCUCCCAAAAAAUGGACAAGAAAACACUGAGCAUGCGAAGAAGCGACACUACAAUGUGGCACACUGGGGAGGACGUCACAGACUGACUGAAUCAGGAAUUUUAUCCAGUGUGGCUCCACCUUCCACAACUCUGGCCACAAGAUCUUCCAUUCCAUCACCUGGUCCAUGCUACUUGCUGCUCCAUCCUGACUGUCCUGCUCUCGCAGGUUUCCUCCACCCAAACUCAGAUUUCAUCCUGAGUUUGGGUGGAUUUCAUCCAUCACCAACAGUUCCUAAAACCAAUUUAAAAUCCUCAGAGAAAUGUUUUGGAUCAGUAGACUUAAGGUCCCAACUUUUCCUGGACUGAAUGUUGAAUGUGACUUUGUUCUGUUUUUCUGUUUUUGUUAUUUGUGGACUCAAAUUGAUACGUAACCCGGGAGAGGUCACUUAAAGUGAUAUUUUUUUUCUGACCAUGAUAAUUUGUGCACGUUUUCCUUUAAUUGAGCCCACGAUUUAAUAAAAUGUGAUCACAAAUUAAUAAAAUGUGCGCACGUUUUCCUGGCCGUGAUAAUUUGUGCGCACGUUUUAAUGGCCAUUCGUGCGCACGUUUUACUUUAAUUGAGCCCUCAAAUUAUAGUAAAACGUGCGCACGUUUUCUUUGCAUUCAAAAUGAUAUGACAUAAAUUGUUAUCCUCACGACGGGGAGACGCUUCGCCCUCAGCAUCCUUUUUAAUGUGCUUAAAGUCCAGAUGAUGUCAUGCUGGGCAGCUGGAGUUCUCUGUAUGUCCUUGUGCG